RNAcentral lists this ribosomal RNA (439 nucleotides) under uncultured bacterium. Its description in RNAcentral is "partial 16S ribosomal RNA". It matches the Rfam family "Bacterial small subunit ribosomal RNA", at positions 339 to 795 of the family's 1533-position model. The record is from RNAcentral.
CUACGGGGCGCAGCAGUGGGGAAUAUUGCACAAUGGAGGAAACUCUGAUGCAGCAACGCCGCGUGGAGGAUGACACAUUUCGGUGUGUAAACUCCUUUUAUAUGUCAAGAAAAUGACGGUAGCAUAUGAAUAAGCACCGGCUAACUCCGUGCCAGCAGCCGCGGUAAUACGGAGGGUGCAAGCGUUACUCGGAAUCACUGGGCGUAAAGGACGCGUAGGCGGGUUGGAAAGUCAGGUGUGAAAUCCUACAGCUUAACUGUAGAACUGCACUUGAAACUUCUAAUCUAGAGUAUGGGAGGGGGAGAUGGAAUUAGUGGUGUAGGGGUAAAAUCCGUAGAUAUCACUAGGAAUACCUAAAGCGAAGGCGAUCUCCUGGAACAUUAUUGACGCUGAGACGCGAAAGCGUGGGGAGCAAACAGGAUUAGAUACCCCCGUAGUC